CAAGAAAUAGUUUAAUUAAGAAUUCUAGCUUUGGGAGCUAUAGGUGGGAGUUAAAUUCUCUCUUUUUUGG
Molecule: transfer RNA, 70 nt
Filed under: Gymnorhamphichthys sp. NM-2010
Lineage: Eukaryota; Metazoa; Chordata; Actinopteri; Gymnotiformes; Rhamphichthyidae
Description: tRNA-Pro
Rfam family: tRNA
About the family: Transfer RNA (tRNA) molecules are approximately 80 nucleotides in length.
Source: RNAcentral